GAUGAACGCUGGCGGCGUGCCUAAUACAUGCAAGUCGAGCGAACGGACGAGAAUCUUGCUUCUCUGAUGUUAGCGGCGGACGGGUGAGUAACACGUGGAUAACCUACCUAUAAGACUGGGAUAACUUCGGGAAACCGGAGCUAAUACCGGAUGAUAUUUUGAACCGCAUGGUUCAUAAGUGAAAGACGGUCUUGCUGUCACUUGUAGAUGGAUCCGCGCUGCAUUAGCUAGUUGGUAAGGUAACGGCUUACCAAGGCAACGAUGCAUAGCCGACCUGAGAGGGUGAUCGGCCACACUGGAACUGAGACACGGUCCAGACUCCUACGGGAGGCAGCAGUAGGGAAUCUUCCGCAAUGGGCGAAAGCCUGACGGAGCAACGCCGCGUGAGUGAUGAAGGUCUUCGGAUCGUAAAACUCUGUUAUUAGGGAAGAACAUAUGUGUAAGUAACUGUGCACAUCUUGACGGUACCUAAUCAGAAAGCCACGGCUAACUACGUG
This 497-nucleotide ribosomal RNA is filed under the name uncultured bacterium. Its description in RNAcentral is "partial 16S ribosomal RNA". It matches the Rfam family "Bacterial small subunit ribosomal RNA", at positions 28 to 507 of the family's 1533-position model. The record is from RNAcentral.